GACGAACGCUGGCGGCGUGCUUAACACAUGCAAGUCGAACGGAAAGGCCCUGCUUUUGUGGGGUGCUCGAGUGGCGAACGGGUGAGUAACACGUGAGUAACCUGCCCUUGACUUUGGGAUAACUUCAGGAAACUGGGGCUAAUACCGGAUAGGAGCUCCUGCUGCAUGGUGGGGGUUGGAAAGUUUCGGCGGUUGGGGAUGGACUCGCGGCUUAUCAGCUUGUUGGUGGGGUAGUGGCUUACCAAGGCUUUGACGGGUAGCCGGCCUGAGAGGGUGACCGGGCACAUUGGGACUGAGAUACGGCCCAGACUCCUACGGGAGGCAGCAGUGGGGAAUAUUGCACAAUGGGCGGAAGCCUGAGGCAGCAACGCCGCGUGCGGGAUGACGGCCGUCGGGUUGUAAACCGCUUUCGCCUGUGACGAAGCGUGAGUGACGGUAAUGUGUAAAGAAGCACCGGCUAACUACGUG
This 468-nucleotide ribosomal RNA is filed under the name uncultured bacterium. Its description in RNAcentral is "partial 16S ribosomal RNA". It matches the Rfam family "Bacterial small subunit ribosomal RNA", at positions 28 to 507 of the family's 1533-position model. The record is from RNAcentral.